This 515-nucleotide ribosomal RNA is filed under the name uncultured bacterium. Its description in RNAcentral is "bacterial SSU rRNA". It matches the Rfam family "Bacterial small subunit ribosomal RNA", at positions 355 to 883 of the family's 1533-position model. The record is from RNAcentral.
UGGGGAAUCUUGGACAAUGGGGGCAACCCUGAUCCAGCCAUGCCGCGUGAGUGAUGAAGGCCUUAGGGUCGUAAAGCUCUUUCGCCUGUGAAGAUAAUGACGGUAGCAGGUAAAGAAACCCCGGCUAACUCCGUGCCAGCAGCCGCGGUAAUACGGAGGGGGUUAGCGUUGUUCGGAAUUACUGGGCGUAAAGCGCACGUAGGCGGACCAGAAAGUUGGGGGUGAAAUCCCGGGGGCUCAACCCCGGAACUGCCUCCAAAACUAUUGGUCUAGAGUUCGAGAGAGGUGAGUGGAAUUCCAAGUGUAGAGGUGAAAUUCGUAGAUAUUUGGAGGAACACCAGUGGCGAAGGCGGCUCACUGGCUCGAUACUGACGCUGAGGUGCGAAAGUGUGGGGAGCAAAACAGGAUUAGAUACCCCUGGUAGUCCACACCGUAAAACGAUGAAUGCCAGUCGUCGGGGUAGCAUGCUAUUCGGUGACACACCUAACGGAUUAAGCAUUCCGCCUGGGGAGUAC